Molecule: ribosomal RNA, 427 nt
Filed under: uncultured bacterium
Lineage: Bacteria
Description: partial 16S ribosomal RNA
Rfam family: Bacterial small subunit ribosomal RNA
Source: RNAcentral
AGGGGAAUAUUGCACAAUGGGCGCAAGCCUGAUGCAGCCAUGCCGCGUGUAUGAAGAAGGCCUUCGGGUUGUAAAGUACUUUCAGCGGGGAGGAAGGCGAUAAGGUUAAUAACCUUGUCGAUUGACGUUACCCGCAGAAGAAGCACCGGCUAACUCCGUGCCAGCAGCCGCGGUAAUACGGAGGGUGCAAGCGUUAAUCGGAAUUACUGGGCGUAAAGCGCACGCAGGCGGUCUGUCAAGUCGGAUGUGAAAUCCCCGGGCUCAACCUGGGAACUGCAUUCGAAACUGGCAGGCUAGAGUCUUGUAGAGGGGGGUAGAAUUCCAGGUGUAGCGGUGAAAUGCGUAGAGAUCUGGAGGAAUACCGGUGGCGAAGGCGGCCCCCUGGACAAAGACUGACGCUCAGGUGCGAAAGCGUGGGGAGCAAACA